AAAUAGAGUUGUUAUGUAAUGAAUAAGGUAAUUUUGCUGCCGUGAAAGGCAGCCCCUCUUAUCCUUAAUGAAAUAUCAGUUCAAGUUCUUGUGUUCUUGGUGACAAAGCUAAAGCCUUUUCCUUUCUUUACUUCUUGUUCAAUAAAGCUUUAAUAAGCUAUUUCAAUAUCUCUAUUUCUAUCUCUUAUAAGCAUCAAUCUAUCUUAGUUUCAAAACUCUCACAUGGUAUCAGAGCUUCAGUCGAUUCAUGGGUCUUAUAUUUUUUUUUUUUUUCUAGAGCUUCCGCCUACUGUCUGAAACAAGGAAAGAAAAGCUUUGUCUUUUCAGUCAAGCCUCUACUCCUUUUAUAGUUCAAAGUCCGUGUCUGAAGAACAAAAAAAAAAAAAGGUUUUGUUUCUCUUCAACGACAAAACAAAACCAGAAGGGACAGAGAAGAAUAAAGACAUAGUCAGCUUCUUCAUCACUUAUCCACGGUAUUUUCUAUGUUCUUUUCUCAUGAGACAGAACAAAGGAUAAAAAAAAAAAAAAAAAAGGAAAUUUGUGUGUUGGGUUGAGUUGCUGGCUAGUUUAGAUUCUGAGGUUAAGAUAGGUUGGGAAAAGGAACGCUGAACUAAGUAUGCUUGUUUUGGGUUGAUAACAAUUAAAUUGUGGCUGCAAGUUCCUGGUUUUCAAGAAGGCACACAAGGUGCUUGAUAAAAUGCCACAAAGAAAAUUAGAAUGGUUCAGCGGUAGUUUAUAGUUGGCUAAUGGAUAGGAGUUAGCAAGGAUAGCUUGUGGGGACAUUCCCAUUUGCUUGGUGAUGGAUACAGAGGAACCAAGAAUUGUGUGAUGAACAAUGGUGAAAGAAUACCUCUGAGAGACUAUACUAAACUCUCCAAGUCAAAGAUACCUCUGAGGGAGUCAUGAUAGAUCUCCAAGUAUACACCAAAAGUUGUCAUCUGGUUCAGAAGUCUACUGUAUGAUCAUCUUCGACUGAUGCCUCCUCCAAAGCCAAAUUCAUGUGGAUUCAAACUUGUCAGCUUUGUGUUCACCCGCUGCCAAGUUUGCGGGGGAGUAUUAACACAAGACAGCAUUUCAAGACCAAGCCCAAGAUAAUACUAACAAGCCCAAUACUAUGAUGUAAACCCAUGUGUGAUAGGGUUUCUUGCAAGUGAGUUAGUAGUAGUAUAAAUAGAGUUGUUAUGUAAUGAAUAAG
RNAcentral lists this long non-coding RNA (1195 nucleotides) under Brassica rapa (field mustard). RNAcentral's name for it is "long non-coding RNA (BRAP_LNC001726)". Lineage: Eukaryota; Viridiplantae; Streptophyta; Magnoliopsida; Brassicales; Brassicaceae. The record is from RNAcentral.